GAUGAACGCUGGCGGCGUGCCUAAUACAUGCAAGUCGAGCGAACAGACGAGGAGCUUGCUCCUCUGACGUUAGCGGCGGACGGGUGAGUAACACGUGGAUAACCUACCUAUAAGACUGGGAUAACUUCGGGAAACCGGAGCUAAUACCGGAUAAUAUAUUGAACCGCAUGGUUCAAUAGUGAAAGACGGUUUUGCUGUCACUUAUAGAUGGAUCCGCGCCGCAUUAGCUAGUUGGUAAGGUAACGGCUUACCAAGGCGACGAUGCGUAGCCGACCUGAGAGGGUGAUCGGCCACACUGGAACUGAGACACGGUCCAGACUCCUACGGUAGGCAGCAGUAGGGAAUCUUCCGCGAUGGGCGAAAGCCUGACGGAGCAACGCCGCGUGAGUGAUGAAGGUCUUCGGAUCGUAAAACUCUGUUAUUAGGGAAGAACAAAUGUGUAAGUAACUAUGCACGUCUUGACGGUACCUAAUCAGAAAGCCACGGCUAACUACGUG
This 497-nucleotide ribosomal RNA is filed under the name uncultured bacterium. RNAcentral describes it as "partial 16S ribosomal RNA". It matches the Rfam family "Bacterial small subunit ribosomal RNA", at positions 28 to 507 of the family's 1533-position model. The record is from RNAcentral.